Molecule: long non-coding RNA, 891 nt
Organism: Zalophus californianus (California sea lion)
Lineage: Eukaryota; Metazoa; Chordata; Mammalia; Carnivora; Otariidae
Exons: 3
Source: RefSeq, a predicted model, not a curated record
CCAACAAAGAGGAAAGUUCACCUCGGGGCCCCUGUGCUCUGGAGUCCCCUUACCUUCCUCGUUUAAAAUCCAGGGCUGGAACGCGAACGCCGUGUCAAAGCCACAGGUGUUUUCUUCAAACGCGCAGGACCCGGCGGGCAGGUCCAGGGCGCCCGCAAGCUGCAGGGCUGCGAGCACAAAACGAAUUUCAGCUCGGGAUAGGGCUGGGAGCGUCUGCACCAACUCGGGGCGCCCCGGGGGGACCAGAUGAUGCUAAAUAUCUGAUGUAUUUCAUCAAAUUACUUCAUUAAAAAUUCAAAGACAGAUAGGAAUCCACUUGAAACCUCAAAACACUAUUUUCAACCAAGCAAGCUUCCAGCAACUAUUAAACUGGUGCUCCUUCUGCCAGGCGAUGCAGUCCACACAAGGAGAGGUGAUCCCCAACGGGGGGGGUGGUUCUCUACACUGAGGCCGACCCAAAGGGCUUGAUGGCUGAAGGCUGUUUGAAGACAACAAUCCCACCACCUGAGAUGCCAAGUCCUUCCUGGAUGGAGGAUCUGGACAAGCACACUGGUGUCCACCACAGACAUUUUGCAGAGAAGGGAAAGAAUCCUGCACAUGGAGAGAGCCAAGGAGGGAAUGCAGAAAAUCUAGAAAUUAUGUCCAUCAACCCACUUCCUCGGGUCACUAAUCAUGGAGCCCUGUGGCCAUGCACUGCCUUCAACCCCUGGGAAAGCAGCAUCAGGCCCCCAGGGGAGCACUACCCAGGACUCUCUCCUCCAAGAUUUAGUUUAAUCGAGUGAUUAAAUAACACAUGUAAAGUUCUGGUUUAUAGAAAGCACUCAAUAAACAUCAGGUAUUACAGCGGGUUGAAUGGUAGCCCUCUCCAAAAGAUAUGCUGUGAAUGUGACC